Molecule: ribosomal RNA, 497 nt
Filed under: uncultured bacterium
Lineage: Bacteria
Description: partial 16S ribosomal RNA
Rfam family: Bacterial small subunit ribosomal RNA
Source: RNAcentral
GAUGAACGCUGGCGGCGUGCCUAAUACAUGCAAGUCGAGCGAACAGACGAGGAGCUUGCUCCUCUGACGUUAGCGGCGGACGGGUGAGUAACACGUGGAUAACCUACCUAUAAGACUGGGAUAACUUCGGGAAACCGGAGCUAAUACCGGAUGAUAUAUUGAACCGCAUGGUUCAAUAGUGAAAGACGGUGUUGCUGUCACUUAUAGAUGGAUCCGCGCUGCAUUAGCUAGUUGGGAAGGUAACGGCUUACCAAGGCAACGAUGCGUAGCCGACCUGAGAGGGUGAUCGGCCACACUGGAACUGAGACACGGUCCAGACUCCUACGGGAGGCAGCAGUAGGGAAUCUUCCGCAAUGGGCGAAAGCCUGACGGAGCAACGCCGCGUGAGUGAUGAAGGUCUUCGGAUCGUAAAACUCUGUUAUUAGGGAAGAACAAAUGUGUAAGUAACUGUGCACGUCUUGACGGUACCUAAUCAGAAAGCCACGGCUAACUACGUG